Molecule: small nuclear RNA, 311 nt
Filed under: Erinaceus europaeus (western European hedgehog)
Lineage: Eukaryota; Metazoa; Chordata; Mammalia; Eulipotyphla; Erinaceidae
Description: 7SK RNA
Rfam family: 7SK RNA
About the family: 7SK was discovered as an abundant small nuclear RNA in the mid-70s but a possible function has only recently been suggested. Two independent studies have found that 7SK RNA binds the CDK9/cyclin T complex (known as elongation factor P-TEFb).
Source: Rfam by way of RNAcentral
GGAUCUGAGGGCAAUCUGGUUAUGGCAUCUGUCAUCCUAUUCAAUCACCAGGGCUGAUUUAGCUGAUUCUGACUGGCUAAGUGGUUGCUCCCUUUCUCCCUUUCUACUUUAUGAGUGUCCCCUCAAAGCUACUACACACUUUAAAGAGGAGAACCUUCCUCAAAUAGGGACACAUUGGUCUUUGGUUGAGGGUGUAGAAUUAGUUGGUUCUCUUGCUAGAACCUCCAAACAAACUUUCAAGAAAUUGUGCCUACAUGGUAAGAGGGAAGGAAUGGCUUUUCUAAAGACUCUAGGGUCUUUACUGUCCUUAG